GUCGUGAGACAGUUCGGUCUCUAUCUGUUGUGGGCGUUGGAAAUUUGAGGGAACCUGACUUUAGUACGAGAGGACCGAGUUGGACGAACCUCUGGUGUAUCGGUUAUGCCGCCAGGUGUACUGCCGAGUAACCACGUUCGGUGAGGAUAAGUGCUGAAAGCAUCUAAGCACGAAGCCAAUCCCAAGAUAAGAUUUCCCUUGAGGGUCGUAGGAGACUACUACGUUGAUAGGCUACAGGUGUAAAGUCAGUGAUGGCAAAGCCGAGUAGUACUAAUUACCCGAACGGCUUUCUAUG
RNAcentral lists this ribosomal RNA (295 nucleotides) under Tidjanibacter sp. RNAcentral's name for it is "partial 23S ribosomal RNA". It matches the Rfam family "Bacterial large subunit ribosomal RNA", at positions 2618 to 2925 of the family's 2925-position model. Lineage: Bacteria; Pseudomonadati; Bacteroidota; Bacteroidia; Bacteroidales; Rikenellaceae. The record is from RNAcentral.